GACGAACGCUGGCGGCGUGCUUAACACAUGCAAGUCGAGCGGAGCGGCGAACGGGUGAGUACCGCGUGAGUAACUGCCCCCCUCUCUGGGAUAACAGUUGGAAACGGCUGCUCAUACCGGAUAGUGGGGGAUGACUCGCGUCCUAUCAGCUUGUUGGUGGGGUAGUGGCCUACCAAGGCGACGACGGGUAGCCGGCCUGAGAGGGCGACCGGCCACAGUGGGCUGAGAUACGGACCAAACUCCUACGGGAGGCAGCAGUGGGGAAUAUUGCACAAUGGACGAAAGUCUGACGGAGCAACGCGAGUGAGUGAUGACGGCUUUCGGGUUGUAAAGCUCUGUUAAUCGGGACGGCGAAUAGUGCGAGGAGUUGACGGUACCGGAAUAGAAAGCCACGGCUAACUACGUGCCAGCAGCCGCGGUAAUUC
This 425-nucleotide ribosomal RNA is filed under the name uncultured bacterium. RNAcentral's name for it is "partial 16S ribosomal RNA". It matches the Rfam family "Bacterial small subunit ribosomal RNA", at positions 28 to 526 of the family's 1533-position model. The record is from RNAcentral.